Molecule: transfer RNA, 63 nt
Filed under: Rugitermes sp. A TB-2014
Lineage: Eukaryota; Metazoa; Arthropoda; Insecta; Blattodea; Kalotermitidae
Also listed under: 1 other name
Description: tRNA-Asp
Source: RNAcentral
AAGGAAUUAGUUAAUUAAUAAUAUUGGUAUGUCAAAUCAAAGUAGUCAUUUAGACACUCCUUU